UCCGAUAUGGUGUAGUGGCUAACAUUAUCGCCUCUCAUUUCAGAACGCGAUAGCCCGGGGUUUGAUUCCCCGUGUCGGAA
This 80-nucleotide transfer RNA is filed under the name Wolfiporia cocos MD-104 SS10. RNAcentral describes it as "tRNA-Glu". It matches the Rfam family "tRNA". Rfam says of the family: Transfer RNA (tRNA) molecules are approximately 80 nucleotides in length. Their secondary structure includes four short double-helical elements and three loops (D, anti-codon, and T loops). The record is from RNAcentral. Lineage: Eukaryota; Fungi; Basidiomycota; Agaricomycetes; Polyporales; Phaeolaceae.